AUUCAAAUAUGUAAGAAAUAGCUUUUUACUCCUCUUCUCAUUUAAAAAUUUCCAAAGGGUAAAUAAACGGAAAAGGACAAAAAUACCUCUUGUGCCUAAUAAAUAGUAAAUUUUCUUUUUUUUUUUUCUUUUUUUGAGACGGAGUCUCGCUCUGUCACCCAGGCUGGAGUGCAGUGGUGCGAUCUCAGCUCACUGCAACCUCUGCCUCUUGGGUUCACGCCAUUCUCCUGCCUCAGUCUCCUGAGUAGCUGGGCUACAGGUGCCCGCCACCAUGCCUGGCUAUUUUUUAUAUUUUUAGUAGAGAUGGGGUUUCACCGUGUUAGCCAGUGUCUCGAUCUCCUGACCUUGUCAUUCUCCCAUCUCGGCCUCCCAAAGUGCUGGGAUUACAGGUGUGAGCCACCAUGCCCGGCCAAUACAUAGUAAAUUUUCUAUACUGAUAAACACUGCUAGAAGAAACUGGAGCUGGAAAUUUCAAAGAGGGAUGGAAAGUCAGGGUCCAGUUCUGGACAUUUCUUAGAAAGGCAGCCACGGCCGGAUGCGGUGGCUCAUGCCUGUAAUCACGCCACCGGCUCAUGCGGUGGCUCAAGCACUUUGGGAGCCACUGUGCCGGUCUGUUGGUCUCUUUUUACCCUAAAAUUGUUAAGUUCUUCUUUCAAGAGCACAGCAGGGGAAGGGCUGGGGAACUUAGACAUAUCGCCAAGUCAGACUGAGAUGAGAACUUCUAAUCUUACAUGUUUAAUACCAAACACAAAGCAAACACAUUCAUCAUCUAGAGUAC
Molecule: long non-coding RNA, 778 nt
Filed under: Homo sapiens (human)
Lineage: Eukaryota; Metazoa; Chordata; Mammalia; Primates; Hominidae
Description: HSALNT0189862
Source: RNAcentral